This 568-nucleotide ribosomal RNA is filed under the name uncultured bacterium. Its description in RNAcentral is "bacterial SSU rRNA". It matches the Rfam family "Bacterial small subunit ribosomal RNA", at positions 62 to 644 of the family's 1533-position model. The record is from RNAcentral.
UCGAACGAGAGAUGAGGAGCUUGCUCUUCAAAUCGAGUGGCGAACGGGUGAGUAACGCGUGAGGAACCUGCCUCAAAGAGGGGGACAACAGUUGGAAACGACUGCUAAUACCGCAUAAGCCCACGGCUCGGCAUCGAGCAGAGGGAAAAGGAGCAAUCCGCUUUGAGAUGGCCUCGCGUCCGAUUAGCUAGUUGGUGAGGUAAUGGCCCACCAAGGCGACGAUCGGUAGCCGGACUGAGAGGUUGAACGGCCACAUUGGGACUGAGACACGGCCCAGACUCCUACGGGAGGCAGCAGUGGGGAAUAUUGCACAAUGGGGGAAACCCUGAUGCAGCGACGCCGCGUGAGGAAGAAGGUCUUCGGAUUGUAAACUCCUGUUGUUGAGGAAGAUAAUGACGGUACUCAACAAGGAAGUGACGGCUAACUACGUGCCAGCAGCCGCGGUAAAACGUAGGUCACAAGCGUUGUCCGGAAUUACUGGGUGUAAAGGGAGCGCAGGCGGGAGAACAAGUUGGAAGUGAAAUCCAUGGGCUCAACCCAUGAACUGCUUUCAAAACUGUUUUUCUUG